UCUCCUGGAAAACGGGUGGUAAUGCCGGAUGCUCCAGUUGAUCGCAUGGUCUUCUGGGAAAGCUUUCGCGGUAUGGGAUGGGGUCGCGUCCUAUCAGCUUGACGGCGGGGUAACGGCCCACCGUGGCUUCGACGGGUAGCCGGCCUGAGAGGGCGACCGGCCACAUUGGGACUGAGAUACGGCCCAGACUCCUACGGGAGGCAGCAGUGGGGAAUAUUGCACAAUGGGCGCAAGCCUGAUGCAGCGACGCCGCGUGAGGGAUGGAGGCCUUCGGGUUGUAAACCUCUUUUAUCGGGGAGCAAGCGAGAGUGAGUUUACCCGUUGAAUAAGCACCGGCUAACUACGUGCCAGCAGCCGCGGUAAUACGUAGGGUGCAAGCGUUAUCCGGAAUUAUUGGGCGUAAAGGGCUCGUAGGCGGUUCGUCGCGUCCGGUGUGAAAGUCCAUCGCUUAACGGUGGAUCCGCGCCGGGUACGGGCGGGCUUGAGUGCGGUAGGGGAGACUGGAAUUCCCGGUGUAACGGUGGAAUGUGUAGAUAUCGGGAAAGAACA
RNAcentral lists this ribosomal RNA (549 nucleotides) under Bifidobacterium longum subsp. infantis. Its description in RNAcentral is "bacterial SSU rRNA". It matches the Rfam family "Bacterial small subunit ribosomal RNA", at positions 146 to 708 of the family's 1533-position model. Lineage: Bacteria; Bacillati; Actinomycetota; Actinomycetes; Bifidobacteriales; Bifidobacteriaceae. The record is from RNAcentral.